Molecule: ribosomal RNA, 507 nt
Filed under: uncultured Glomeraceae
Lineage: Eukaryota; Fungi; Glomeromycota; Glomeromycetes; Glomerales; Glomeraceae
Description: SSU rRNA
Rfam family: Eukaryotic small subunit ribosomal RNA
Source: RNAcentral
AGCAGCCGCGGUAAUUCCAGCUCCAAUAGCGUAUAUUAAAGUUGUUGCAGUUAAAAAGCUCGUAGUUGAAUUUCGGGACCAAUUUGUUGGUCGUGCCUCGGUACGUACUGGUAUUAUUGGUUUCUCCCUUCUGAAGAACCUCGAUGCCAUUAAUUUGGUGUCGUGGGGAAUCAGGACUGUUACUUUGAAAAAUUAGAGUGUUUAAAGCAGGCAUACGCUUGAAUACAUUAGCAUGGAAUAAUGAAAUAGGACGUUUGAUUCUAUUUUGUUGGUUUCUAGGAUCGACGUAAUGAUUAAUAGGGAUAGUUGGGGGCAUUAGUAUUCAAUUGUCAGAGGUGAAAUUCUUGGAUUUAUUGAAGACUAACUACUGCGAAAGCAUUUGCCAAGGAUGUUUUCAUUAAUCAAGAACGAAAGUUAGGGGAUCGAAGACGAUCAGAUACCGUCGUAGUCUUAACCAUAAACUAUGCCGACUAGGGAUCGGAUGAUGUUAAUUUUUUAAUGUACUCA